AAGACUCGUUUUAGGGAUCCUGUAUUUUAACAUAAAUUAAAUCACAGAAUCGUCAUUGAACUUCGAUGGCAUUGCACCCUUAAUGUUAGCCUACUAAGGACCAUUACCCUACAUGCAACGACACUUAUUAAUUUUCGUGCGAUAUAGGAUUUCGGGACGUACGAUAGGUAAACAUAUAAUACCACCAGGUGAAAGGAGAUAACUCUAUCGGCAAAAUAUACUAAAUAUAGGGAAGAUAGAAGAAAAACAUACCCCUAAAAACAAAACAAAAAAGGCGCCCACAAUUGUCAAAACAAAUAACAAUAUUUCAUUAUAUAACCAAAGAAAAUACCAAUGCAAAUACAUUGUCCACUUCCCCGAGAAAAAAUUAGAAAAAAUAGAAAAAAACAAAUUCUUCCUUAAUUCAAUGUUUGCAACGCCCACAAUAAUAAAAUGAAGAAAAAUAUGACCUUCAUACUAUGUCAUAUACAGGUGCGCAUUUAAUAACUUGUAAAUCACCGCCUGUCCCUGGGUAAUAUUCAUGAUCACCUUGUGAUGUGUCUAUACACCGGAGUUUCUUUUAUGGAACCGUUUUUAUAGUGUAUGAUUGCGUUUUGGUACUUAACAUUCAUGAAAUAUUAGCCACUGAACUUCUAUGCGUUUAUCUCCAAAGCAUGUUGUGUGUUUAAACGUCAUUAUGAAAUCCACAACAAUAACCCCCUCCCAC
This 706-nucleotide long non-coding RNA is filed under the name Mytilus galloprovincialis (Mediterranean mussel). The record is from RNAcentral. Lineage: Eukaryota; Metazoa; Mollusca; Bivalvia; Mytilida; Mytilidae.